RNAcentral lists this transfer RNA (71 nucleotides) under Loxodonta africana (African savanna elephant). It matches the Rfam family "tRNA". From Rfam's summary of the family: Transfer RNA (tRNA) molecules are approximately 80 nucleotides in length. Their secondary structure includes four short double-helical elements and three loops (D, anti-codon, and T loops). Further hydrogen bonds mediate the characteristic L-shaped molecular structure. tRNAs have two regions of fundamental functional importance: the anti-codon, which is responsible for specific mRNA codon recognition, and the 3' end, to which the tRNAs corresponding amino acid is attached (by aminoacyl-tRNA synthetases). tRNAs cope with the degeneracy of the genetic code in two manners: having more than one tRNA (with a specific anti-codon) for a particular amino acid; and 'wobble' base-pairing, i.e. permitting non-standard base-pairing at the 3rd anti-codon position. The record is from Rfam by way of RNAcentral. Lineage: Eukaryota; Metazoa; Chordata; Mammalia; Proboscidea; Elephantidae.
GCAGUGGUGGUUCAGUGGUGGAGUUCUUGCCUUCCAUGCAGGAGGCCUGGGUUCAAUUCCCGGCCAACGCA